CCUACGGGAGGCAGCAGUAAGGAAUCUUCCACAAUGGGCGAAAGCCUGGUCCAGCCAUGCCGCGUGUGUGAAGAAGGUCUUCGGAUUGUAAAGCACUUUAAGUUGGGAGGAAGGGCAGUAAGCUAAUACCUUGCUGUUUUGACGUUACCGACAGAAUAAGCACCGGCUAACUCUGUGCCAGCAGCCGCGGUAAU
This 194-nucleotide ribosomal RNA is filed under the name uncultured bacterium. RNAcentral describes it as "partial 16S ribosomal RNA". It matches the Rfam family "Bacterial small subunit ribosomal RNA", at positions 338 to 524 of the family's 1533-position model. The record is from RNAcentral.